GAUGAACGCUGGCGGCGUGCCUAAUACAUGCAAGUCGAGCGAACAGACGAUGCUCUUGCUCCUCUCACGUUAGCGGCGGACGGGUGAGUAACACGUGUAUACCCUCCCUAUCAGACUGUGAUAACUUCGGGACACCGGAGCAUAUACCGGAUAAUCUAUUGCACCGCAUGGUGCAAUAGUAAAAGACGGCUUUUCUGUCAGUUAUCGAUGCAUCCGGGCUGCAUUAGAUAGUUGGUAAUGUAACGGCGUACUAAGGCAACGAUGCGUAGCCGAACUGAGAGGGUGAUCGGCCACAAUAGAACGGAGACACGGUAAAGACGCCUAAGGGAGGCACAAGUAGGGAAUCUGAGGCAAUGGGCGAAAGCAUGACGGAGCAAGGCGAAGUGAGUGAUGAAGAUCUUCGGAUCGUAAAACUCUGUUAUGAGGGAAAAACAAAUGUGUAAGUAACUAUGGAGGUCUUGACGGUAAAUAAUCAAGAAGCAACGGCUAACUACGUG
RNAcentral lists this ribosomal RNA (497 nucleotides) under uncultured bacterium. RNAcentral describes it as "partial 16S ribosomal RNA". It matches the Rfam family "Bacterial small subunit ribosomal RNA", at positions 28 to 507 of the family's 1533-position model. The record is from RNAcentral.